This 538-nucleotide ribosomal RNA is filed under the name Aspergillus sp. RNAcentral describes it as "eukaryotic LSU rRNA". The stretch from base 165 to 318 matches the Rfam family "5.8S ribosomal RNA". The record is from RNAcentral. Lineage: Eukaryota; Fungi; Ascomycota; Eurotiomycetes; Eurotiales; Aspergillaceae.
ACCUCCCACCCGUGUUUAUUGUACCUUGUUGCUUCGGCGGGCCCGCCGUUUUCGAACGGCCGCCGGGGAGGCCUUGCGCCCCCGGGCCCGCGCCCGCCGAAGACCCCAACAUGAACUCUGUUCUGAAAGUAUGCAGUCUGAGUUUGAUUACCAUAAUCAAUUAAAACUUUCAACAACGGAUCUCUUGGUUCCGGCAUCGAUGAAGAACGCAGCGAAAUGCGAUAAGUAAUGUGAAUUGCAGAAUUCAGUGAAUCAUCGAGUCUUUGAACGCACAUUGCGCCCCCUGGUAUUCCGGGGGGCAUGCCUGUCCGAGCGUCAUUGCUGCCCUCAAGCACGGCUUGUGUGUUGGGCCCCCGUCCCCGGUUCUCCCCGGGGACGGGCCCGAAAGGCAGCGGCGGCACCGCGUCCGAUCCUCGAGCGUAUGGGGCUUUGUCACCCGCUCUGUAGGCCCGGCCGGCGCCAGCCGACACCCCAACUUUAUUUUCUAAGGUUGACCUCGGAUCAGGUAGGGAUACCCGCUGAACUUAAGCAUAUCAAU